ACGGAACAGCUUGACCACGUUUGAAAGGAGUGUUCCCACGUUUGAUUUUUGUUUUCUCUAAAGUUUGUGUCUUUGAUUUUGUUGUGAUUAUCAAUCGUGUUUCUGAUUCUUCCUCCCCUCCCCACCAGUUUAUUAGCACUGGACAAUCGUCAUGGAAUCGAAAUGAUUGAGCUUGAUGACGCUACGCUGCCUCCAAAUUAGAUUUUUGUUUCCGACAUUUGUAUUGUAAUGUUUUUCAUUUCCGCUUGGGUCUAAAUCUGAUGUGUCUCCAGGAGAUUCCAUGAUAUUGUCAGUGUUCGCGAGAGUGUUGGGGUGAGAUUUGUUUCUUUCUCCAGCUUGCUUUCAUUUCUUGAAUCUGAUCUCUUAUGUUGAUCGAGUCUGAUGGAAAUUUGGGUUUUAACAAAAAAAAAAAAAAAAGCUAAGAAUCAUUUUACAAAUUGAGUUUCAUUUUAGAUUUUGUUCUCGAGUUGAAGCUCAUUUCAUUACAAAAUGUUCAUAGGUAUUGUGGUACGGAUGCAGGAAAGUGCUAAGGACACUUCUCACAGAUUCUAAACGAACGAGUAUGUCAAAUUAGGUACAUUUGGAUUGUGUUUUGUCUCUAAUCUUCAUGCUUUUUAUGCUUAAAGGUCUAUGAGAUUUCAGGUAUCUGAUGAUGAGGAUGAUUCUUUUCAAAAACUGCCCUCUUCCCCAAUCUUCAGAUUCCUCAAGAUUAGGCGCUUUGUCUUUUGUUCUGUGUUUGGGGGCUUAAUUCCAUUUCCCAAGUAGAUUCAGUGAUGUACCAAUAUCUAGGUAAGAAUAAGCUAUCUUGUCAGUUAUAUAAGUAGUACAUGGACCUUUAUGCCAAAGAAUAAGCCAUCUUGUCGGUUGUUUUUCUCGUCACCAACUCGACCAACUCUUUUUCCGGACGUUGCAUGUCCAGGAAAUGAAUUUCUCUUAUUGCUCUGAGACCAUUUGAUUCGGUUUUGGUAACUAGAAAGAAACAACAAUUACAUUCAGAUAGAACGGUGCUUAUAAGCUUGAGAGAUAUUAGAAACUCUCACCUCCCAUGAACAUGGUGAUCUAAUAAUCUUAACUUCUUUUUAAUUCUCGCAGUUUUUGAUACUUGUAUACUACUAAUGACUACUUGGAAUAAAGGACACAUUAAUCAAGCCCACA
RNAcentral lists this long non-coding RNA (1155 nucleotides) under Brassica rapa (field mustard). RNAcentral's name for it is "long non-coding RNA (BRAP_LNC004427)". Lineage: Eukaryota; Viridiplantae; Streptophyta; Magnoliopsida; Brassicales; Brassicaceae. The record is from RNAcentral.